Anopheles aquasalis is the source of this 241-nucleotide long non-coding RNA. RefSeq lists it as uncharacterized. The record is from RefSeq and is a predicted model, not a curated record. Lineage: Eukaryota; Metazoa; Arthropoda; Insecta; Diptera; Culicidae.
GAAAAGUUUCUAAGCGCACCUUCCAGCACGGGCCACAUGAACACACCAUACGCGGCCGUAAGUGCCACGCCAACCUGUUGAAAUGAACGAAACGAUACGAGCACCUCUUACGGCCAGCUACUGUUCCAAAUUUGAAGUCCCGCAUCGCUGACGGUAACACCCGGUGUAUCGCUCUCAAUGGGCAUACCGUUGAAUGUCCAGGAUAUUGUUGGCUGUAUGGAAGAUAGUAAAAUAGAUAGAA